This 72-nucleotide transfer RNA is filed under the name Phytophthora infestans (potato late blight agent). RNAcentral describes it as "tRNA-Gln". It matches the Rfam family "tRNA". Rfam says of the family: Transfer RNA (tRNA) molecules are approximately 80 nucleotides in length. Their secondary structure includes four short double-helical elements and three loops (D, anti-codon, and T loops). The record is from RNAcentral. Lineage: Eukaryota; Oomycota; Peronosporomycetes; Peronosporales; Peronosporaceae.
GCUCUUAUGGUGUAAUGGUUAGCACUCUGGACUUUGAAUCCAGCGAUCCGGGUUCAAAUCCCGGUAGGGGCU